AUUGAACGCUGGCGGAAUGCUUUACACAUGCAAGUCGAACGGCAGCACGGACUUCGGUCUGGUGGCGAGUGGCGAACGGGUGAGUAAUGUAUCGGAACGUGCCCAGUCGGGGGGGAUAACGUAGUGAAAAUUACGCUAAUACAGCAUCCGAUCUAAGGAUGAAAGCGGGGGAUCGCAAGACCUAGCGCGAUUCGAGCGGCCGAUAUCAGAUUAGGUAGUUGGUGGGGUAAAGGCUCACCAAGCCAACGAUCUGCAGCUGGUCUGAGAGGACGACCAGCCACACUGGAACUGAGACACGGUCCAGACUCCUACGGGAGGCAGCAGUGGGGAAUUUUGGACAAUGGGCGAAAGCCUGAUCCAGCCAUUCCGCGUGCAGGAUGAAGGCCCUCGGGUUGUAAACUGCUUUUGUACAGAACGAAAAGGUUUCUACUAAUACUAGGAGCUCAUGACGGUACUGUAAGAAUAAGCACCGGCUAACUACGUGCCAGCCGCCGCCGUAA
This 500-nucleotide ribosomal RNA is filed under the name uncultured bacterium. RNAcentral describes it as "partial 16S ribosomal RNA". It matches the Rfam family "Bacterial small subunit ribosomal RNA", at positions 30 to 523 of the family's 1533-position model. The record is from RNAcentral.